AUGAUGAAUAAGUUAACAUCGUACAUCUUAAGGUUUUCAUUAAAUUAAACAGCUAUUUAGAAAUAAUAUGCUGAUUGUGUUUAACAAUAAAGAUGCAACUAAAGCUUACUCUGCUGCAAACUUCCUAAAACAUUGAAAGGGUUAACUAGUUUUGUUAUGCAUACACCAAAUGGUGAUAGCUUUUGAAAUCGUUGCUUAGUUUUAUUAUUUAUUUCAAAUACAGGAAUGCCAUUACAUUCGCCACGCCUGGACAUGCUAACAGAAUUAACAGACCACGAAAUAAUAAAAAGAUACAGACUGAAUAAAGCAGGCAUAAAUUAUCUAGAGAGGAUGAUAGGGGCAACUUUAAGUCCCCGUACGGCCAGACAUAAAAGCCCGUCUGCUCUUGAAUUUUUUUUUUGAUAAUGUUACGUUAUCUUGCCUCUGGAGAAUUCCAAAUAAAUGAUGGAGACCUUCAUCAGGUCAGUCAGUCAACGGUUUCAAAAGUAAUAAGUGAGGUUCUUCAAGAACUAACAUCAUCAGACAUGGUCCGGGAGCAUAUACGUUUCCCAACAUCUGUGCAUGACCUGGAUACACAAGUGGCUAAAUUUGCUGGUGUUACAAAUUUCCCAAAAGUUAUGAGUGUGAUUGACUGCACUCAUGUGAGAAUCCUGGCUCCCUCUUUGGAAGAGGAAAUUUAUGUGAAUAGAAAAGGUUUUCUCAGUAUAAAUGCCCAGCUUGUAUUUGAUGCUUUUGACACAAUCAUAGUGUUGUUGCGAGGUGGCCAGGAUACUCACAUGAUAGCCGGAUUUUACAAAAUAGUGGGGUUAGACAGCUGUUUGAGGAGGGAAUCAUCCCCGUCAGGUAUCACCUACUUGGAGAUAGUGGUUAUCCCUCUCGAAGAUGGCUGCUUACCCCAUACGCAAACCCUCAAGCAGGACAACAAACCCGGUACAACAGUUGCCACCCUGGAGGGUUGAAAGAAGAAGAGAUUUUGGAAGUGUAGGCCGGUGUGAGUGGGGGAAAAAAGCCAGCAGGGAUGAUGUCACUCAGUUGAACUAAGGGAGGUAAUUGUGGGGAUGGAGUCUACAACGGUUGUUUCUCCAGGACCAGAAGGAGUGCACGAGCAUACAAAAUAACUAGACCAUAAGUAGAAAGGGGCAUAGGGCAACUGAAAAGGAGAUUUGGUAUUUUUCAUGGAGAAAUCCGUAUGAAACCAGAAAAGGCUUGCAGGGUAAUAACAGCGUGUGCUGUAUUGCACAAUAUUUGCAAAAGGCAAAAUAUUCCUCUACCAGAUGUUGAAAUGGAGGAAAAUGAUGAUAACCAGCCUGAACUCAACCAGCCAGACCCCAUGGAAAAUGGCCCACAAAUGGGACUUAGAUACAGGGACUUAUUUGUUAAUACUUAUUUUUGAAAAAAAGGAUGGCAAUACCUUUCAUUACCUCCUGGUGAAUCUCCCAGACUCUCUUUUCCCGGUUGCUGAGGACUGCACUCUUUUCCCGGUUGCUGAGGACUGCACACACUGUAUGGAAGGAAAGAAAAUUACAUCAUUAUUAUUUGAUAAAAGCUUCAUUUAGAAUCUUUUAUCUCUAAUGGUUAUUAAUCUCCUAUGUCACUUAUGUCAAGGCAUUGUUCUCCUUUUUCUGCCUUUAUUUACACUUUGUUGGGAAAUGAGGUGUUUUUUAUUGUUAUGGGAAAAAGAAAAACUUAUUGUUCAUUUAAGGAAUACUUGUUUUGUUCUAAAGUUAUCAUCUGUGGUCUAUUUCCUCUUAAUUUGCAUCUAAUGUAGAUCUCUAUUGCUAUCAUUAUGAGAAAAGUAUACCCUCAUUCUCAGUAGUAAUGAAUUAAUUUUUUACCAAACAACACAUUUUAAACUGUUCCGAAAUGAACAGUGUGACCUAUGAUAGUUUAAAUUGUAUAACAAUAUAUAGAAAGUAUUUUGGAAGGGUAGACAUAUUUUUUGGAUAAGGAGAAAUGGCUCACUUUGUGUAAUUUCACAUCCCCACAAUAAUUUAUAUAGUAAUCUGCAAUAAACUCAUACAAUUUUAUUAUUAUUUAUUGCUAUGGCAACAAGUAGACUAGAAAUAGUGCUGAAAAUGUUUUUUUUUUCUGGAUCCUGCGAUAACUUUAAAAGUUCUUAAUAUUUGAUCAUGAAACUUGGAACAUGGAUAGAUGGCAAUAUGGACAUUAUGCACGUCAUUUCAUUUUGUUCCUACGUCAAAAAUUGUGGUUGCUAUGGAAACAAAUAAUAAAAAUAUUCUGACAAUGGUGAAAUUUCUGACAAUGGUGGAGCCGGUAUGGGACAUUUAUUGCUCGGCAAUAGUCUUGUUGUAUUUGUAUUCUAACACUUUGAGCAUAAAUAUGUUUAAAAAAUAAUUACCUUUGCUGUUUUAUCAAGAGCAUGGAUGAAUCCAUGUCUUCAGACAGGGCAAUUCCUGAUAAUGUUUGGGAUUUUUUCUCCACAACAUCAACUACUGAUUCAGUCAAAACUGAUAGUUGUGCAGGUUUUGGUCCACCUCCAUAAAGGAAAUACACGCAUGUGAGUAUACGUAGGAAAAGUGAUAGUGAAAUUAUUUGGUCCAAGAUAUCUCUUAAAUAGUUGUUUUCAAACAGUCCUAAAAGCAUUGUGAGAAAAGGAGAAAUGGCUCAAUAUAAGCAAUGUCUUCUUAUCUCACAAUGAUUUCUACCCUUCCAAAGACUUUGUUUCAUAUUUUAUUAUAAUUUUAAUUAUGGUCUACAACCUCUUUCAAUUAAGGAAGACCAAAAUGUGUAGUAUGGUUAUGGGCUUACGAUAAAGAGUUAACUGAUACAUGUAACUAAGUACAUUUAAAUUUAACAGCCAUAUUUAGCCCAGUACUUUAAAAUUUAACAGUACUUAGCAUUACUCUUACCUUACAAUCUAAUUGAUAAAUAUGAGGGUAGCACUUGACAAACAAAUCAGGAAUACAGGGGUCGUGCAUUUGAACCCCAGCUUUUCCAAUAUUCUUUACAAAGUUCAAAGAAGUCUAUGAUAAGACUAAUUCCUUUCUCAACUCGUAAUAAUUGUGUUUCCAUGGGAAAAAUCAGGAGCAAGGAUGGUGUACUUGUCACUGAUAUAAGAUAAUAUUUUUUGAAAAUGACGUGAACACCUAAAUCCAAAAAUGCUUGAUGAGAUAGAUUUGACUAUGCAAUAACGUACCUGUUUUGUUUGACAGAAUAAGGUGCUCUGCAAACAGAGACCUAUGAACCUGUACAAGGUUGUCCCACUUUUUGUUGAGGGUUUGCUGGUCCCUAGCGAACUCUGCCUUCUUAUUAAAAUGUUCUGUCACAGAUCCCCAACACUGCUUUUUGGAUACUGAUGUUAUGGCUGAAGAAUAGACACAGACAUGUAGCACUGACUUGUAUACAUUCCUCUGUACAUGUAUUAAACACUAUUGUAGUGUUUCUUACAAAGCUGGGAAGAUUAGAGUUUCAUGCUGUUACUAUUGUGAUCUAUUAUGUCAUACUAUUCAUUUAAUUUUAUAUUUAUGUUAUAUGAUGUUACCAUUUAUAAUUAGAGUAAAUAUCAAUUUGCUUCUAAAGUGGAUGUGAUAUUUAUUUGUGUUAACCUAUGUGUUAAAUAAUAAGGUACUGUUUGUGCAUUAGCAACAUAUUAUUUAGCCCAAGGACAACUGUUAUUAUUUGAUUGAUAAACCAAUUUUUGAAACCCUUUGGAAAACAAUUAUUCCUUAAUUUAAAAUGUAUAAUGAACUUUAAAAGUGUUAUUGUAAACACAUCACCUGGCUUUGGAAUAAAUCAGUGUUUUUUACCUUUAAGGUCAUGUUUCCAUUCUGCAUAGAUUGCAAUAUUUAUUUAUAUGUUGAAUAUUGUUCAGUAUAUGUACUCUACUUUUCAAUGAUUUCAACCAAAUGAACCCUCAUGAAACUUGAAAAAAGAGAUUUUUUGUCUAAAUCUCCUGUACUGAUUUCCCAUGUUUUAUGAUAAAAUUUCAGUCAAUUUGUAUUUUCUCCAUACAUAAUUGUAAUAAAUGUAAUACAUGAUUCAUUUCACAAA
This is a long non-coding RNA of Dreissena polymorpha, 4011 nucleotides long. RefSeq lists it as uncharacterized. Lineage: Eukaryota; Metazoa; Mollusca; Bivalvia; Myida; Dreissenidae. The record is from RefSeq and is a predicted model, not a curated record. The transcript is spliced from 5 exons.